GUUUAAAUAGCUUAAAUGAAAGCUUUUUAUUGAAGAUGAAUAGAUGAUAUUUAUAUCUUUAAACA
This 65-nucleotide transfer RNA is filed under the name Taxonus zhangi. RNAcentral's name for it is "tRNA-Phe". It matches the Rfam family "tRNA". From Rfam's summary of the family: Transfer RNA (tRNA) molecules are approximately 80 nucleotides in length. Their secondary structure includes four short double-helical elements and three loops (D, anti-codon, and T loops). The record is from RNAcentral. Lineage: Eukaryota; Metazoa; Arthropoda; Insecta; Hymenoptera; Tenthredinidae.